Molecule: ribosomal RNA, 427 nt
Filed under: uncultured beta proteobacterium
Lineage: Bacteria; Pseudomonadati; Pseudomonadota; Betaproteobacteria
Description: bacterial SSU rRNA
Rfam family: Bacterial small subunit ribosomal RNA
Source: RNAcentral
UGGGGAAUAUUGGACAAUGGGCGAAAGCCUGAUCCAGCCAUGCCGCGUGAGUGAAGAAGGCCUUCGGGUUGUAAAGCUCUUUUAGUCGGAAAGAAAGAGCCGCAAUGAAUAAUUGUGAUUUAUGACGGUACCGACAGAAAAAGCACCGGCUAACUACGUGCCAGCAGCCGCGGUAAUACGUAGGGUGCGAGCGUUAAUCGGAAUUACUGGGCGUAAAGGGUGCGCAGGCGGUUUUGCAAGUCAGAUGUGAAAGCCCCGGGCUUAACCUGGGAAUUGCGUUUGAAACUACAAGGCUAGAGUGCAGCAGAGGGGAGUGGAAUUCCAUGUGUAGCAGUGAAAUGCGUAGAGAUGUGGAAGAACACCGAUGGCGAAGGCAGCUCCCUGGGUUGACACUGACGCUCAUGCACGAAAGCGUGGGGAGCAAACA